AGUGAACGCUGGCGGUAGGCCUAACACAUGCAAGUCGAACGGCAGCACAGUAAGAGCUUGCUCUUACGGGUGGCGAGUGGCGGACGGGUGAGGAAUACAUCGGAAUCUACUUUUUCGUGGGGGAUAACGUAGGGAAACUUACGCUAAUACCGCAUACGACCUACGGGUGAAAGCAGGGGAUCUUCGGACCUUGCGCGAUUGAAUGAGCCGAUGUCGGAUUAGCUAGUUGGCGGGGUAAAGGCCCACCAAGGCGACGAUCCGUAGCUGGUCUGAGAGGAUGAUCAGCCACACUGGAACUGAGACACGGUCCAGACUCCUACGGGAGGCAGCAGUGGGGAAUAUUGGACAGUGGGCGCAAGCCUGAUCCAGCCAUACCGCGUGGGUGAGAAGGCCUUCGGGUUGUAAAGCCCUUUUGUUGGGAAAGAAAAGCAGCAGGUUAAUACCCCGCUGUUCUGACGGUACCCAAAGAAUAAGCACCGGCUAACUUCGUG
Molecule: ribosomal RNA, 491 nt
Filed under: uncultured bacterium
Lineage: Bacteria
Description: partial 16S ribosomal RNA
Rfam family: Bacterial small subunit ribosomal RNA
Source: RNAcentral